RNAcentral lists this small nuclear RNA (89 nucleotides) under Phlebotomus papatasi. The record is from RNAcentral. Lineage: Eukaryota; Metazoa; Arthropoda; Insecta; Diptera; Psychodidae.
UUUAUAGACCACAUUAAACUAAAAUUGGAACAAUACGGAGAAGUAUAGAAUGGCCCCUACGCAAGUCUUAAGAAAAGCCCUUUAGAUUC